GCUUACGGCCACACCGCCUGGUUCACGCCGAUCUCGUUUGAUCUCGGAAGCUAAAAUAGGUUGGGCCUGGUUAGUACUUGCAUGGAGACUGCCUGGGAAUCCAGGUGCUGUAAGCU
This 116-nucleotide ribosomal RNA is filed under the name Scophthalmus maximus (turbot). The record is from RNAcentral. Lineage: Eukaryota; Metazoa; Chordata; Actinopteri; Pleuronectiformes; Scophthalmidae.